AACGAACGCUGGCGGCAUGCCUAACACAUGCAAGUCGAACGAGACCUUCGGGUCUAGUGGCGCACGGGUGCGUAACGCGUGGGAACCUGCCCUUAGGUUCGGAAUAACUCACCGAAAGGGGUGCUAAUACCGGAUAAUGUCUUCGGACCAAAGAUUUAUCGCCUUUGGAUGGGCCCGCGUUGGAUUAGCUCGUUGGUAGGGUAAAAGCCUACCAAGGCGACGAUCCAUAGCUGGUCUGAGAGGAUGAUCAGCCACACUGGGACUGAGACACGGCCCAGACUCCUACGGGAGGCAGCAGUGGGGAAUAUUGGAGAAUGGACGAAAGCCUGAUCCAGCAAUGCCGCGGGAGUUAUCAAGGCAUUAGGGUUGUAAAGCUCUUUUACCCGGGAUGAUAAUGACAGUACCGGGAGAAUAAGCGCCGGCUAACUCCGUG
Molecule: ribosomal RNA, 433 nt
Filed under: uncultured bacterium
Lineage: Bacteria
Description: partial 16S ribosomal RNA
Rfam family: Bacterial small subunit ribosomal RNA
Source: RNAcentral